This 3037-nucleotide unclassified non-coding RNA is filed under the name Leishmania donovani. RNAcentral's name for it is "gene:LdHU3.13.0610(CDS-product:Uncharacterized_AC R_COG1678_putative)". Lineage: Eukaryota; Euglenozoa; Kinetoplastea; Trypanosomatida; Trypanosomatidae. The record is from RNAcentral.
GUGUGGCUAGGGUUGUUUUCUGAGGAAGUAGGUUUCAGGACGUGCUUUACGCUGCUCGCAGGGCGUCCUCCUCCUUGUCUCUCUCUAUUCUGUUGUUGCUUUCGUUUUUCUUUUUUUUUUUUAGUUUCGUUCCGUGAACCGCCAGCUGCACAGAGCAGUUGCGCUUCGGUACAAGGAGGGAGGUGGCUCUCGGGGGACCCACCCACCCGCACCUUCAUUCACCACACUUUCGCGUACGUAGCCGCAUACACACAGACUCUGACAUAAUGGAGAAGGUUGUUCUUACUACGUACCGCAAGCUGUACAAGAUGUGCCGCCGCGUCGACGCCAGCGUGGCGAUGCGGACACAGCUCAUGUGCUGCCCGUUACAGGUGUACGACCAUCGCAUGAUGGAAUGGCAGCCGUUCAACAUUAGCGAGAUGAAGUGGGCCGAGUCACGCACCUUCCUGGAUGCGUUGAUUCGGCGGCUGAAUAACGGGAGUCCGCAAUACAUCCCGCCGCUGCCACAGGAGACGACGCGGGCGGUGGAGGCGUACAAAGAGCAGUGUGCGUCCAUGUUCACGGCGGCGAAGGGAAAUGCCGAUGGCGCCGCCGCCAGCGACGAAGGUGCACCUGCCACCACCUCAGCAGCAGAAGAGGCCGCCGGUGCUGAGGCCGCUGCUGCGUCUGGCUCUUCCACCGCAUCGCUGGGAGGCGCACGCGGCACCACCGUGCCAUUAUGCGUGCUACCCUACAGUACUCUAACCGUGGCGCUCCGGCAAAUCUAUGAGGCCACGCCGUUCUCUAUGAGCAACAUCACCAAUGCCUUUGCAGCGGUGAAGGAGCUGCAGUACGUGUGCGACCUGGAUAACGCCGGAAAGACGAAGCUGGUAACGAUGACCGCCGGCUCGUCCUCGACCUCCUCUGCGGAGGCUGCUGAUGUGGCGCCGCUGCAGCGAACACUGGAUGUGAUGCCGCUGCACAACUCUCUCAUUCACGGCCUCAGCUCAGAUCAGCGAGUCUCGCUAGACCGCCAGACGCGCCGCGCGAGGAAGUGUUCCUCUGCGUCGCGCGACAACGACGGUCCACCGGUGAUGAUCGCGGCUACAGCAGCGGCCGCAGCCUCAAGGGCAGCAAUGGCUCCUGAGGCGGCACCCACGUCUGCGGAAAACGCUUUCGACGGCGCUCCUGACGUGGAAGGGGGAGCCGAUUUCACGGGCGAGGGCGGCGACAAGGCGGAGGGGAGUGAAAGGGCCGAGUGCAGAAGCGCGCCCGAGGAGAGCAGGGUGCCGUCCGGCGAGGAGCUGAGCGACAUCCUCCCUGCUCAGGCGGAGAUGGCGAAGGAGCCCAAGGAGGUGCAGCUGCUUCUUUCUCACCCCACCGCACGCGGCUUCUUCCGACGCACGGUGCUGCUCAUGGUGCGCCACGUCACGCACGAGUCCGCAGCGCUUGUGCUCAACAAGCCCCUUCGCAACGAGGAAGGGCUGGAGAUGACCAUCGAGGCAACGGUUCGACUGGGCCGCGUGCAUCCAAUCUUCCGCCGACAUCUGGCGCAACACACACUGAUGAUUGGUGGCCCGGUCAUGUCCGGCAGCUCUUUCGACGACAGCAUCUUCCUUCUCCACCGAGUGCCCGGGGUCCCGCACGCGCUGCCUCUCGGGUCAAACCUGUGGCUGGACGGCGACCUCGACGUCCUCAUGGCGAAGCUGGAUGCGGAGGAGGCUUCGGCGGAGGAGGACAUUGUCGUCUUGUGCGGCUUUGCGGGGUGGGGCUUCGACCAGCUCAAGGGUGAGCUGGGCCACGGCUACUGGGUGGUCGCCAGCGGCCCUAGCGCUGACGCGUCGGUGGGUGCGUUUGUGAUGUCCCUUGCCCGCACGACGAGGGGCCAGUCCCAGCACCAACAGAAGCAGCAGGCGCCCAACACCGGUGCCGCCCCUGCGUCGUCUUGGGCGAAUGAGAAAGAGUCCGCGCGGGUCGCCGGUGCGGCAUCGGCCGGCGCCGAGAGUGGCUCUCCUGAGCAGGGGCAAGCAGCGGCGCCAGCGCUCGAGGACACGGUGAAGACGGAGGAGAGCAUCCGUGCUGAGGCGCAGCACGCUGCCGACGCAGCUGCGUCACCGGCGCUUACGUUCCUCAAGCGCCGCCGUCGUCGUGCCGCCGACUUUGGCAAGGUGCGGAGUGGGCACAUUGAGACUCUCUCGUGGGUCCGUGCGUACGCGUCGGUGGGGCAGCCGUAUGCAGACAUGGCUAUCAAUCAAAAGGCGUUUGCAGAGGAUGACGACUUCCAGGAGUAAGCGCACUCUGACUCGGAGAGGGGGGCUGGGGCGACAAGGGGCUGUGGAAAGGGAGUGAAACGAGGGGUGGGUGGGUGGGGUGGGGUCAUUUUCCAGGCCUGCCCAGGCGCGUGUGCGCACAGCUGUAUGGGUGGCGAGGCAUACUGCCGCCGUUUCCCUUCUCGUGCCCCUCUUCGCUCUUUUUUCCGCUGACUUGGGCUGCUGCUGCUGCCCCCUUCCCUUCCCUUUUUUCCCGCACCUCCGUCAGUUGCUUCCACACACCCUCUGCGGACACGACUCGUUGCUUUCUACUUCUCCAUGGGUCACCUCUCACCGCCUUUCUCUGAUUGUUGGCCCACGCACUGCGUUGAAGUAUGCGUGGCUAUGCGUCUCUGCGAGGAGCGGAUGCCGUGCUGGGGCGAAGCGCGAGAAAGGAGGUGAGACGUUUUCUCCACCUUUCCAGUUCCCCCUCUCGCUCAUCCGGCGAACGACUUGACAUAAACACGCAUGCACACAUACACGGGGACGUACGCCGGUGCGCAGACGACGGCGUUUAACGCGGGUAUCGUGUAGUUGAUUCUAAUGCCGAGUUUCACUCCGGACUAAUGGGCAUAAACUAGAGUGUGCGCAUACAUACACCAUGCGCAGAGAUGCACGCACACAUCACGUGUAGGACAGCUAAGGCAGGCCCGUGGAAGUGGGAGACGGCGUGUCGAAGAGGAUGAUUAUGCGGCGGCUUUGGCGAAUGCGCUUGCUUGCUCCGUCAUCACACUCAGAGGCAUGCACAC